CGCUGGCGGGCAUGCNUAACACAUGCAAGUCGACGGAANCGAUGUUAGCUUGCUANCAGGCGUCGAGUGGCGGACGGGUGAGUAAUGCAUAGAAUCUGCCUUUUAGUGGGGGAUAACUUGGGGAAACCCAAGCUAAUACCGCAUAAUCUUUACGGAGGAAAGCGGGGGAUCUUCGGACCUCGUGCUGAAAGAUGAGCCUAUGUCAGAUUAGCUAGUUGGUGGGGUAAAGGCCUACCAAGGCGACGAUCUGUAGCUGGUUUGAGAGAAUGAUCAGCCACACUGGAAUUGAGACACGGUCCAGACUCCUACGGGAGGCAGCAGUGGGGAAUAUUGGACAAUGGGCGCAAGCCUGAUCCAGCAAUGCCGCGUGUGUGAAGAAGGCCUGCGGGUUGUAAAGCACUUUCAGUUGGGAGGAAAGGUAUUGUGUUAAUAGCACCGUCCUGUGACGUUACCAACAGAAGAAGCACCGGCUAACUCUGUGCCAGCAGCCGCGGUAAUAC
This 500-nucleotide ribosomal RNA is filed under the name uncultured Gammaproteobacteria bacterium. Its description in RNAcentral is "bacterial SSU rRNA". It matches the Rfam family "Bacterial small subunit ribosomal RNA", at positions 34 to 526 of the family's 1533-position model. Lineage: Bacteria; Pseudomonadati; Pseudomonadota; Gammaproteobacteria. The record is from RNAcentral.